This 253-nucleotide ribosomal RNA is filed under the name uncultured bacterium. Its description in RNAcentral is "partial 16S ribosomal RNA". It matches the Rfam family "Bacterial small subunit ribosomal RNA", at positions 524 to 776 of the family's 1533-position model. The record is from RNAcentral.
UACGGAGGAGGCAAGCGUUAUCCGGAAUUAUUGGGCGUAAAGCGUCUGCAGGUGGCGAUUCAAGUCUGCGGUCAAAGACUGGGGCUUAACCCUGGAAAGGCCGUGGAAACUGAAAAGCUAGAGUGCAGUAGGGGUAGAGGGAAUUCCCGGUGUAGCGGUGAAAUGCGUAGAGCUCGGGAAGAACAUCGGUGGCGAAAGCGCUCUGCUGGACUGCAACUGACACUCAGGGACGAAAGCUAGGGGAGCGAAUGGG